CGCGGGUUCUCUCGGGUUUCUUUCCGACAGUGGCGGAGGCGGUAGUCAAGCGUGGAGGUUGGUGAACUCGUAGGCGAUUCAUCGCGGUGAGAAAACGAGGACGAUUCGUCGCGGUGAGAAGACGAAGGCGGUUCAUCGCGGAGGGAAGACGCAGGCGAUUUGGUUCUCCGGUCUCCUUCUCCGGUUACCUUCUCCGUCAACGGUAACAGCGGCAACGGCG
This is a non-coding RNA of Lupinus albus (white lupine), 220 nucleotides long. The record is from the annotation of a GenBank genome assembly. NCBI's taxonomy places the organism in Eukaryota, Viridiplantae, Streptophyta, Magnoliopsida, Fabales, Fabaceae.